CCCCCGACCCCGUCAGCCCUGCUAACCCGCCAGCGCCGCCAUCUUGGACUCGGCCUUCAGACAACCUCUGCGAUCCGUCCCCCUAAACCCUCCGGGUCCCCUGGGCCGUCGCCCAAAGCGGCCCGGAGGGCGUGAGGAAACCGGAACCCAGGCCCACGACGUUCCGCUGCGCUUUCGGCCUCGGUGGUCGCGCCCGCGCCCGCGCCGCGUGCCCCCGGGACCCCUCCCCCCCAGCGCGCGCGCCCGCGCGCCAAGAGGUAUACAGCGUGACGUCGGGGCGCGCGUGGAGGUCGCGACGCCCGGGAAAAAUCAGAGGCCACGUCCGCUUCCUCAUACCCGCGGGAGGCCAAGACGGAGGCGCACCUCUAGGGUCGGGGACAGCAACAUGCUGUGUCCUGGGCAUGCCACGUUCAGAUCAUGCCAGCCAGCACCAUGGACUCUUUCCUGAAGGAACAGGAGCUUGUCCAUGGAGGGUUUUGGGGGCUCUCAGCCUUAGUGCUGGUGGCAGGGGUGACAGGGCACUCAGUCCCUGGCCGUGGCUGGUCUGGAGGAAGGGCUGGGGCUGACAGGGCCCCCUGGGCUCACCUCUGCCACCCACACAGCAUCUUCAUGUUUGAGCAGGACUGCCCCCUGUGACCAGCAGCAGACAGUGCUGCUCUCAGGGGAGCCAACUGCCAGGGUCAGGGGACAUGGUGGUGGCCCGAGGAGGGGCCUCCUGCCAACACGUUGCCCUGAGCAGCCCCAGUCAAGCCUUCAGAUGACACAGUUCCAGCUGGCACGCGAGACUGCAGCUUCGUGGGACACCUGGGACCACCCAGCCCAGCUGCCUACAGGAGUCCUGACCCACGGAGGCCAUGAGAGGGAACGUUUCCGCCACUAGGUUUGGGGCAACGUUCCAAGGGCAGGUGUGACCAGCGCAUGGGGCUGCCGGGUGGAUUGACUGCAUGGAAGGCAGAGCUGGGUUCAGGGACUCGGGGCCCCAGACAACCCCUGAAAUGGGGGCCACAGGGCCAAGUCUGCUGGGUGAGUGGGCUCGGUGAGCCUGGCCGGAGAGCAAGGGGCAAACAGGGAGGUGGGGAGGAGGCCGGGGAAGGUGGGCUCUGGCCACACCAAUGUGAUUUUCUGUGCUUUGGAAUUCUCGCCCUGUGCACAUGUCUUUUUUAAAACCGACGUUUUGAAGAGGUGCCAAGGUGCCGCAGGGAAGUCUCCAUUCCUGGGAGGGGCUACUUCACUCAGGGGAAAUGGGAUUCUCUGGGGCGCUGUCUGGGGCUGGAACCAGUAAAAUCAUCACCUUUGACAGAGGACAGAGGACAGGAUAGAGCUAGUUUUCUUGCAUCGCGACCUUCCAGCCUUUGUUCCCUCCCCACUUGGGGCCAGGCACAGAGGCCGCUGGAAAGGCGCCUGCCCAGCUCCUUCUCCCGAGCAAGCGAUGGCAGCAACCGCAACACGGGAGGAAGCCGCCUGUCUCCGGCUCCUCCUCCAACAAAGACUGUUUCUCAGAAACACAGGAGCACAUUCAGGAACCAUGUUAAGUGGAAAUCACACAAAGGGAAAAGAAAAAAAACAAAACAAAACCGGAGGAACGCACUAACGUUUCUGCAGUGGUGUAUUCAUACCAGACACCUUUUUAAAACUGCCAUUUAAUAUCAGACGAGAUGCACAGAAAACAAACGCCACUUCUUGUUAAUCACACGGUACAGUCACAAGAAAGGACACACCAUCCAUCUAUUUUUGUCCUUUUAAAACAUUUCAGGAAAUGCAUCUUGCACAAAGUGCCAGGAAAACAGAACUGGCUUUUGGUACAUUAAUGAAACACUUUUCAGAAGUGUGGAAACCAGGACAACCCAGACAGAUCCAGCACAAACGCAAGCGCCGGGCUCCGCUUCCCGAAGAACAUCAGGGCCUGGCGGCGCGUCCCGGGCUCCGCGGAGCAGCCUCCUCACCACCGACAGCACCGGCUCCUUUCUGCUAAGAGCUGGUUAUCAAAUAUGUCUUUUUCCCUUCAGAAAACAAAAGAUACUUCACUGUAGUCAUUCAUCAUUGUGUUUUAAAGAGUACGAAACAGGAAGGUUCCUGUUUAUGGGGACAGAGCUUCAGUCUGGGAAGAUGAGAAAGUUCUGGAGAUGGAGGGUGGUGACGGCCGCACAGCUACGCAGAUGUGCCUAAUGCCACCGAGCUGUGCACACUUAAAAAGAGUUAGGCUGGUAAAUUUUGUUAUGUGUAUUUUAGUACAAUUUUUUUUAAAGAUAUUUUCAGAAAGAGUAUGAAGUAUCAAAUUGUUCCUACUACAUGACCUCCCUGUAAAGAAAAAUCACAUUAACAAUCGAGUGCCCAGCAGCCCCUUGGGAACAGGGCCACGCAGGACACAGGUAAACCAGGAUGCUGGUUUUGAUGUUUGACCGGCGGACACCUGGAGCCACGUCAGCGGCUGGAAAGAGGCAGCCACAGAGACGGCGAGAGGAGCGGAGACGGCCCACAUCACGAUCUUGCGCGGCACGGUUACAUAGUCGGCCUGUGCACAACUCCUCAACUGUGACUCCCAGGUGAAAAGGACACCAGGAGGGAGGGGACCUCCCUCCACAACGCCAUCGCCAUCGUGUGGGCUAGAGACGCAUUCACGUUCCGUCCGGCCAUUGGAGCCACUGGUCCCGGUGGCAGGACGUUGACGGGCUCCCAGAAGCUUGACUGAGGCCCCAGGUAGACAGUGGACCCCACUUGCUGCCCUGCUCUUCUCUGGACGGUUCCGCAGGCGGCCCCGAGGCCACACCUCCUCCUGCCUUGCGGAGAACUCAUGGCUCUCCUGGGAGCCCCUGUGACCAUGUGCCUGUGAUGGCGGGAGCCCCGGCCCUGUUGGCCUGGAUGGAGACCCUGCCCUGGCCUCGGCCUGCCGCUGCCCGCACGCCCCGCCUGACUCCAGCAGGGCCUGGCACUGAGCCCAGCGAUGGGAUUAGGGGCUCUGGGGCCAAACAUCCAAGGCAGCUAAACACACCGAUGUGAGAGAAACAUCUUGAUCACAGCAUUCUUCUGCCUGGCCAGACACCACGUGGGGUGACUGCUGCCUCCUAAUCUUGCUGCACGGGCCUCACAGCCAUGGGCUGGAUCAAGAGGGAAACAAGUUCAAAAUACAAAUAUCAGCCCUGCAGAGAGAUUAGGACGGACAUGCCCGGGCACCCGACCAGCGCUCUGCAUAUGCAGCUGCCACGGGAUCGGGCCCCGAGGCUGGCGACCCCAGGGAAGGCCGUGGCCGAGCUGAAGGCCUUGGACACGUGUCCAGCUCUGCCACCACUGACCAGCUCGGGAACCCUGGACCACCACCAAACCCAUCUACAGGACAGGAACGCCCAGCGCUGCCUCUGCGGGGCCUGUGGCCAUUCCCUGGCCCUUCGCUAACGUGUGUUUUGAGGAAGAGUGGGCUGUCGGCAGCUCUAGCCAGAACUGCCAGCGGCGCAGAAACAAAACCCCUGAAGACAUGAACUGAGAACGAUCUGGUACCAAUUAUGCAGAUGUCUGGGUAGGUGGAAGAAUGUUUGCUCUUGUCUCUGUUCCGCACCUGGGAAGAUAAACUUGUAAUUUACUAUUAGUGUGGAAUCGAACAGACUUUAAUCUUAUGAGCAAGACUUGGCCUGUAGACCCAAAGCUACAUUUUGUAUGUCCUUGUUUAUGGGAAGCCAGCAAAGAAUUUCCUGCGAAUGAUCAGUGAGGCCAGUCCUUUGCAAGAGCCUGAGGCCUUUACCUUCCCUUUUGCAUAAGGAGUUGGGGGAGUGGUCCUGAGAUUUGUAUUUUCAUUUACACUCUGAUGUUGAUUUUCAGUUCUUAAUUACCUCUCCGGAAAUUGUAUUUUUCCUAAUUAGGUACUCUAAUAAAAGUGUGUAAACAUAAACAUAAA
Lemur catta (Ring-tailed lemur) is the source of this 3886-nucleotide long non-coding RNA. RefSeq lists it as uncharacterized. The transcript has 2 exons. The record is from RefSeq and is a predicted model, not a curated record. Lineage: Eukaryota; Metazoa; Chordata; Mammalia; Primates; Lemuridae.